RNAcentral lists this ribosomal RNA (423 nucleotides) under Salmonella enterica. RNAcentral describes it as "bacterial SSU rRNA". It matches the Rfam family "Bacterial small subunit ribosomal RNA", at positions 1 to 420 of the family's 1533-position model. The record is from RNAcentral. RNAcentral also lists the same sequence under 1 other name. Lineage: Bacteria; Pseudomonadati; Pseudomonadota; Gammaproteobacteria; Enterobacterales; Enterobacteriaceae.
AAAUUGAAGAGUUUGAUCAUGGCUCAGAUUGAACGCUGGCGGCAGGCCUAACACAUGCAAGUCGAACGGUAACAGGAAGCAGCUUGCUGCUUUGCUGACGAGUGGCGGACGGGUGAGUAAUGUCUGGGAAACUGCCUGAUGGAGGGGGAUAACUACUGGAAACGGUGGCUAAUACCGCAUAACGUCGCAAGACCAAAGAGGGGGACCUUCGGGCCUCUUGCCAUCAGAUGUGCCCAGAUGGGAUUAGCUUGUUGGUGAGGUAACGGCUCACCAAGGCGACGAUCCCUAGCUGGUCUGAGAGGAUGACUAGCCACACUGGAACUGAGACACGGUCCAGACUCCUACGGGAGGCAGCAGUGGGGAAUAUUGCACAAUGGGCGCAAGCCUGAUGCAGCCAUGCCGCGUGUAUGAAGAAGGCCUUCG